AAUAGAUACCCGGGUAGUCCACGCCGUAAACGUUGGAUACUAGGUGUGGCGGUUAUACCAAUGACUGCCGUGCCGAAGCUAACGCAUUAAGUAUCCCGCCUGGGGAGUACGGCCGCAAGGCUAAAACUCAAAGGAAUUGACGGGUCCCCGCACAAGCGGCGGAGCAUGCGGCUUAAUUCGAUGCAACCCGAAGAACCUUACCUGGGUUUGACAUCACGGGAAAAGCUGUAGAAAUACAGUGUCCGUAAGGGCCCGUGACAGGUGGUGCAUGGCUGUCGUCAGCUCGUGUCGUGAGAUGUUGGGUUAAGUCCCGCAACGAGCGCAACCCUUGUCCUAUGUUGCCAGCAGUUCGGCUGGGGACUCGUAGGAGACUGCCGGGGAUAACUCGGAGGAGGGUGGGGAUGAGGUCAAGUCAUCAUGCCCCUUAUGUCUUGGGCUACACACGUGCUACAUUGGCCGGUACAAAGGGCUGCAAAACCGCGAGGUUGAGCGAAUCCCAAAAAGGCCGGUCCCGGUUCGGAUUGGAGGCUGCAACUCGCUCCAUGAA
This 547-nucleotide ribosomal RNA is filed under the name uncultured bacterium. Its description in RNAcentral is "bacterial SSU rRNA". It matches the Rfam family "Bacterial small subunit ribosomal RNA", at positions 777 to 1324 of the family's 1533-position model. The record is from RNAcentral.